RNAcentral lists this long non-coding RNA (227 nucleotides) under Vulpes vulpes (red fox). RNAcentral's name for it is "lncRNA (ENSVVUG00000014323.1)". The record is from RNAcentral. Lineage: Eukaryota; Metazoa; Chordata; Mammalia; Carnivora; Canidae.
GCUUUUGCUGUCCUUAACUCUGGAGGCCAGGGAUACAUCUCAAAGGAGAAAAAUGUUUGCCUUUGAAUUUGAAAAGACUGUGAAGCCUCUAGGACAAGGCCACCGGAGCUACCUUCUGCACCACAAUAGGUAUUGAAUGUAUCCUUUCACAAACUCUCCCACCCAAUGUGCCAAAAAUAAUGUUUGAUUCGACUGCAAUCUUUUUUUCUGUGCACAAAGAACCAGCU